GAUCCAAAAACAGCAAUGGAGAAAGUGGUCUGGAAACCACAUUUCAUCACAGGUAGCCACAUUCCACACGUAUAGAGACAGGAAGAUAUCGGUAUUCAGUCCCAGUCGGAAAUGACAUAAUAAUAAGGAAUUCCCCUAGACCACGCCCAUAAAUUGGGGAAAUCCCGCUGAAAUUCCGAUCAAUGGUUCGCAAUGGUCCCACGUUGGGAAAUAGAGCCUGGGAGAAGAGCCCUGUGGCUUCAGGCUAUUCGGUGUGGGAAAUGUGGGGACGCGAUGUCCAAGAAGGCUAUACGUAGCCCCACUUGCAGCAGGCGUUGGACAGGCCCACCACCACAUCACGGCCCUUACGGUCUGACAUACGGAGAGCCUCCAGUAUCUCCUCUGAGAUGAGGGAGCGGGCUGGCCUGCUGAUGAACACCCCACCCUCCUGGACAUGCUGGAAGGGACCCUCUGGGACCUGGGAGUCUGAGUUCCAGCCUUCAGGCGAGUCCUCGUCAUGGGAGCUGAAAGGGUCCUGAGGGAAGUCUCCUGAAAUGCAGUUUAUAGUAGGAGUGUUGAAAUGCGAUAUUGACUCUCAGUGCUGCUCAAUUUAUACAUUCAAAAGUCAAAGAUUACUGUGUUUCUAUUUCAAAGAAAAUGUUAUGUGUAACGUGCCAAAUACAAGUAAAAAAUAGAUAAGUUAAAAAAAAAUGUAAUAAAAGUAACAAGUAAUUAAAGAGCAGCAGUAAAAUAACCCUAGCGAGGCUAUAUACAGGGGGUACCGGUACAGAGUCAAUGUGAGUAGCAGUAGCGUAAAAAGGGGGGGCAAUGCAAAAAGUCUGAGUAGCCCUUUGAUUAGCUGUUCAGGAGGCUUAUGGCUUGGGGGUAGAAGCUGUUUAGAAGCCUUUUGGACCUAGACUUGGUGCUCCGGUACCGACUGACACUCAGUAGCAGAGAGAACAGUCUAUGACUUGGGUGGCUGGAGUCCUUGACACAUUUUUGAGCCUUCCUCUGACACCGCCUGGUAUAGAGGUCCCAGAUGGCAGGAAGUUUGACCCCAGUGAUAUACUGUGUUGUACACACUACCCUCUGCAGUGCCUUGUGGUCAGAGGCCAAGCAGUUGCCAUACCAGGCAGUGAUGCAACCAGUAGGAUGCUCUCGAUGGGGCAGCUGUAGCACUUUUUGAGGAUCUGAGGACCCAUGUCAAAUACUUUCAGUCUCCUGAGAGGGAGACUACUGUCUUGAUGUGUUUGGACCAAUGCACAAUACAUUUAAAUGAAAAAAUGUAAUCGACUAGGUGGACGUAAUCGACUGUGCGGAUAUAAUACAUUCCAAUGGACAAAGCCAGUGGUACAAAAAAAGCCAACAUAGUCCUUUCCCUUUACUCAACAAACCAUAAAGCACUGAUAAAUUGAAUCAGGUACAUUACUGCUUGGCUAGAAUCUAAAUGUGCACAAUUUAGAAACACAAUGACCCAAUAAAAGGCUUGUCCAGCCGGCAUGCCUCACCUGCACUCCCGAGUGACCGUCUCCAGCGAGAUCCUCCACAGGUGAAGAUGACCGCCCGGAUGAACUCCCGGCCACAUAGCUUCACUCCAUACGUGGGGCGCUCCAUCCCCUGCACCCCAGCCACUAACAGACACACAGCUAAUACCAGUGGUUUCCACAUCAUGUCCCAGGAGGUAAAUGAACGAGUGAGCAAAAAAGGAGGAGAGAGAAUAGAUUCUUCAAUGGUAGACUGGGCUGUUUGGAGCAGGUGUUUUUCUCUGUCUCUCUGUGGUCGCGAGUGUUGUGUGACUUCCCCAGUGACCUGGUAUUGGUUUAUAAAGGGGUCCUCAGCCAUACGAGGUAGACAUGGAACUUCCACAUGCACACCCUCCCAACCAGGACAGUCAUAGAUAGGAGAGAGAGAUAGACCCAGAGACCUUUAUGGAGACAAAGCACUGACCAAAGGUGGCAUAAUUAGCCAAUACUGCUCAAACGCGACGAUGAUGUCAGAGUAGUUUGUAAUCUGAUUACAGAAAAACUAAUUUUCUGGAUGUCAAACCCACGUUUCAUUUGAAUCCUCACCUACACCUUUUUUGUGGUCAUCACCCACCUCAAACUCACUUGAUCACCAGACAUUUCUGCUCAUGCAAAGCAAGUGUUAAUGUGAAGACCCAUGGUGUAGUGGUAACACUCCCUAACACAUGUUACAUACAAAUCCCAUCCAGAGACCAGGGUUCAAUACCUGUGUCCACCCUUCCCACUGUUUCUCCCUCUUGUUUAUUUCCUCACUAUCUGAAUAAAGUGUCAAAACACCUUAAAAAUACAUAUUUAAACUUGAUCAAAUCUUCUACAGAGGUACAGUAGGAAUGUUGGGUAUGAUGACACAGUUCAGAAGUGUGAUGCCACCGUGUCAAAAUGUCGGUAUCAAGAACAUGUUUUCUCUAACACAAAUACCCAGUUUAGUACAUACAGUGUACUACAAAUAUACAUAUGUGCUACAUUUCAAUAGUGGAAGAUCCAGCCUACCGACGGAGGAGGAGCUGUGACUGUGGACGACGACGAGGUGCCCGUUGAGGUGUUCCAUGGCCUGUCUGUCAGAUGUCUCUACAUCUCUCAAGAUACUACCUUUCUGAACUGCCUAUCAUCUAAAGUUGACCAUCGCCAACAUACUGACAGAUCCCUACCUUUGUUUUGUUAAAUAGUUUCUGGUUACAUUUUGUUUUCAAAGUGACUUUGAGAUUCUGCUUGUAAUGAAAAGCACUAAAUAAAAUACAUAUUUUUAUUAUUAUAUAGAACUUACUUUCAAGUAAAACUUAAACUCUUCUCCUAUACCACUUCACACCUUUUCAGUGCUGACUCUGUAACCCCAGCUCUGAUUAUUCUCCCAUGACUUGCUUCUCCCCUCAUAUUUCUCCAUCUCUCUCUCUCUCUGAAAAAGAGGGAUGAAGUCACAGGUGGGGGGUUCACACAUCAAGGAGUAGGGGGUGCGUGCGACGGAAUGAGGCAAAGCGGGUGACAUUUUCAAAGGCAGAUAACAUGGAAGUCAUCAUCUGAGUCAAACAAAGGCUGGGACCCUAUCUGUGUCAACGCAUAGGUAAAGGUCCCCGUUUCAGAAUUGACAAUGGAUUUGUGAAUUUGUAAUUAAUAGGUUGAUAACAAUGCGAACAACAUGGUAUUUCAGGGGGACAUUGGAGACUCAUUUGCACAUUGUCUAGUGGUGAGUGACCAGGUGAGCAGGUUAAGAGAGCGACAUUGUCUAGUGGUGAGUGACCAGGUGAGCAGGUUAAGAGAGUGACAUUGUCUAGUGGUGAGUGACCAGGUGAGCAGGUUAAGAGAGUGACAUUGUCUAGUGGUGAGUGACCAGGUGAGCAGGUUAAGAGAGCGACAUUGAUGGUGACUGAAUGUGUUGCUUUUUGAAUAAUUUGUUUGUUGCCAGUAUGUAGACUUUGUCUGUAUACGUGUGUGUGUAUCGCGGUUUUGUCUCACCAGGGGUGAUGGUCAGAUUCGUGUUACAACGAGGAAUGAGCGUUACACCGAGGCCUGUGCUCUGGAGCAGGAUUGAUUUGAAGGUGGAGGGUCCGUCAUGGCCUAGGGCGGUGUGUCACAGCAUCAUCGACUGAGCUUGUUGUCAUUGCAGGCAAUCUCAACGCUGUGCGUUAAGGGGAAGACAUCCUCCUCCCUCAUGUGGUACUCUUCCUGUAGGCUCAUCCUGACAUGACCCUCCAGCAUGACAAUGCCACCAGCCAUACUGAUCGUUCUGUGUGGGAUUUCCUGCAAGACAGGAAUGUCAGUGUUCUGCCAUGGCCAGCGAAGAGCCCGGAUCUCGAUCCCAUUGAGCACGUCUGGGACCUGUUGGAUCGGAGGGCUAGGGCCAUUCCCCCCAGAAAUGUCCAGGAACUUGCAGGUGUCUUGGUUGAAGAGUGGGGUAACAUCUCACAGCAUGAACUGGCAAAUCUGAUGCAGUCCAUGAGGAGGAAAUGCACUGCAGUACUUAAUGCAGCUGGUGGCCACACCAGAUACUGACUUACUUUUGAUUUUGACACCCCCUUUGUUCAGGGACACAUAUUCAAUUUUUGUUAGUCACAUGUCUGUGGAACUUGUUCAGUUUAUGUCUUAGUUGUUGAAUCUUGUUAUGUCCAUACAAAUAUUUACACAUGUUAAGUUUGCUGAAAAUAAAUGCAGUUGACAGUGA
This is a long non-coding RNA of Oncorhynchus nerka (sockeye salmon), 4158 nucleotides long. RefSeq lists it as uncharacterized. The record is from RefSeq and is a predicted model, not a curated record. Lineage: Eukaryota; Metazoa; Chordata; Actinopteri; Salmoniformes; Salmonidae. The transcript is spliced from 2 exons.